UAGACCAGAGUGUCUCCAAAGAGUUGGUAUC
Molecule: non-coding RNA, 31 nt
Filed under: Homo sapiens (human)
Lineage: Eukaryota; Metazoa; Chordata; Mammalia; Primates; Hominidae
Source: RNAcentral